AUUGAACGCUGGCGGCAGGCCUAACACAUGCAAGUCGAGCGGUAGCACAGAGAGCUUGCUCUCGGGUGACGAGCGGCGGACGGGUGAGUAAUGUCUGGGAAACUGCCUGAUGGAGGGGGAUAACUACUGGAAACGGUAGCUAAUACCGCAUAAUGUCGCAAGACCAAAGUGGGGGACCUUCGGGCCUCAUGCCAUCAGAUGUGCCCAGAUGGGAUUAGCUAGUAGGUGGGGUAAUGGCUCACCUAGGCGACGAUCCCUAGCUGGUCUGAGAGGAUGACCAGCCACACUGGAACGGAGACACGGUCCAGACUCCUACGGGAGGCAGCAGUGGGGAAUAUUGCACAAUGGGCGCAAGCCUGAUGCAGCCAUGCCGCGUGUGUGAAGAAGGCCUUCGGGUUGUAAAGCACUUUCAGCGGGGAGGAAGGCGGUGAGGUUAAUAACCUCAUCGAUUGACGUUACCCGCAGAAGAAGCACCGGCUAACUCCGUGCCAGCCGCCGCAGUAA
Molecule: ribosomal RNA, 504 nt
Filed under: uncultured bacterium
Lineage: Bacteria
Description: partial 16S ribosomal RNA
Rfam family: Bacterial small subunit ribosomal RNA
Source: RNAcentral